UAGGGAAUUUUCGUCAAUGGGGGCAAGUCUGAACCAGCCAUGCCGCGUGCAGGAAGACGGCUCUAUGAGUUGUAAACUGCUUUUGUACGAGGGUAAACGCAGAUACGUGUAUCUGUCUGAAAGUAUCGUACGAAUAAGGAUCGGCUAACUCCGUGCC
RNAcentral lists this ribosomal RNA (157 nucleotides) under uncultured bacterium. RNAcentral describes it as "partial 16S ribosomal RNA". It matches the Rfam family "Bacterial small subunit ribosomal RNA", at positions 355 to 509 of the family's 1533-position model. The record is from RNAcentral.